This 279-nucleotide ribosomal RNA is filed under the name Penicillium oxalicum. RNAcentral describes it as "partial large subunit ribosomal RNA". It matches the Rfam family "Eukaryotic large subunit ribosomal RNA", at positions 351 to 648 of the family's 3401-position model. The record is from RNAcentral. Lineage: Eukaryota; Fungi; Ascomycota; Eurotiomycetes; Eurotiales; Aspergillaceae.
GAGUGAUCGAAAGAUGAAAAGCACUUUGAAAAGAGAGUUAAACAGCACGUGAAAUUGUUGAAAGGGAAGCGCUUGCGACCAGACUCGCCGACGGGGUUCAGCCGGGAUUCGUCCCGGUGUACUUCCCCGCCGGCGGGCCAGCGUCGGUUUGGGCGGCCGGUCAAAGGCCUCCGGAAUGUAUCGCCCCCCGGGGCGUCUUAUAGCCGGAGGUGCAAUGCGGCCUGCCCGGACCGAGGAACGCGCUUCGGCACGGACGCUGGCAUAAUGGUCGUAAGCGAC